CCAGGUGAUGGCUUGGAAUUUCAGAGUUCUAAAAUGAACCUAAAAAGUUACUUCAGCAUCCUUAGAAAUAAGUUGUUAAGGCAUGAACAUUUGAGUUCAUCCAAAGUGUUAUCAAAAGGUCUCAUCAAAUUAUUUUAUGUAGAAGAGCACCCAAAUGUUAUUUCUUGCUGUUCCUCUUCUUUUCCUCAAGAGAAAGAAGGUUGAAAACUGAAAAUGAUGAAGUUGAAGAAUGAAGUCAAUGAGUGUUAAGAAGAGAUUCAUUUAUCCUUGAAAAAUGAAAAAGUAGAGUGCUGGUGGUGAUCAUGUCUUCCCUUCACCCAUGGGGACUUUUCAUUUAUCGCUGCCACUCCAGCAUGUUCACUAUUCUCUGUAGCAUGAAAAUCUGAUAAAGCUCAUGAGGGGAGAGAAAACUUAACUUCAAUAUUUUCCUGCUGAGCCUGAGAGUGCUUUGUAUACCCUAGCAAGAUGAAAAUCUUAGCUGCAGCAUCAGGAAGAGGACACCUCACUUUAUCCUACAUUCCUAUCUCAGUCAGGAAAGUAGCUCUAGAGAAGGAACUAAGAAGUCAAGCUGUCCUGCUGUAUUAGUUGUUUACCCCACCUCCCUGAAGCAAGAGGAAAUUUUGCCAGCAGACUGCCUUCUGUCUUGAACUGCAAAAUCAGCUCUUCCCUAGGCCUGUCCCCAGGCCCUUCCUGACUGCUAGCAGACUGGAACUACAGAUUUUGGACUUGUCAACCUCCAUAGUUGAAUGAGCCACUUUUGCAAAAUAAAUCUCUAUUUUUAUAUAUACACAUCCCAUUGAUUCUGGUUUUUGUUUUUGUUUUUGUUUUUGUUUUCUGGAGAACACUGAUCGAACAGGAGAGAAAAGGCCCUGCCGAGUAGAGGACUAGUUUUGUUGCUACCAUCACCAUUGUUAGUAUCCAUGCCUCUUGUUAGACU
Molecule: long non-coding RNA, 937 nt
Filed under: Homo sapiens (human)
Lineage: Eukaryota; Metazoa; Chordata; Mammalia; Primates; Hominidae
Description: HSALNT0369324
Source: RNAcentral